RNAcentral lists this ribosomal RNA (492 nucleotides) under uncultured bacterium. RNAcentral describes it as "partial 16S ribosomal RNA". It matches the Rfam family "Bacterial small subunit ribosomal RNA", at positions 29 to 507 of the family's 1533-position model. The record is from RNAcentral.
AGUGAACGCUGGCGGUAGGCCUAACACAUGCAAGUCGAACGGCAGCACAGUAAGAGCUUGCUCUUACGGGUGGCGAGUGGCGGACGGGUGAGGAAUACAUCGGAAUCUACUUUUUCGUGGGGGAUAACGUAGGGAAACUUACGCUAAUACCGCAUACGACCUACGGGUGAAAGCAGGGGAUCUUCGGACCUUGCGCGAUUGAAUGAGCCGAUGUCGGAUUAGCUAGUUGGCGGGGUAAAGGCCCACCAAGGCGACGAUCCGUAGCUGGUCUGAGAGGAUGAUCAGCCACACUGGAACUGAGACACGGUCCAGGCUCCUACGGGAGGCAGCAGUGGGGAAUAUUGGACAAUGGGCGCAAGCCUGAUCCAGCCAUACCGCGUGGGUGAAGAAGGCCUUCGGGUUGUAAAGCCCUUUUGUCGGGAAAGAAAAGCAGCAGGUUAAUACCCCGCUGUUCUGACGGUACCCAAAGAAUAAGCACCGGCUAACUUCGUG